This is a non-coding RNA of Schistosoma rodhaini, 45 nucleotides long. NCBI's taxonomy places the organism in Eukaryota, Metazoa, Platyhelminthes, Trematoda, Strigeidida, Schistosomatidae. The record is from Rfam.
AUACAGCUGAUGAGUCCCAAAUAGGACGAAACGCGCGUCCUGGAU